RNAcentral lists this long non-coding RNA (227 nucleotides) under Pan troglodytes (chimpanzee). Its description in RNAcentral is "long non-coding RNA NONPTRT001484". The record is from RNAcentral. Lineage: Eukaryota; Metazoa; Chordata; Mammalia; Primates; Hominidae.
UUUGUUCAAAUGUGUUUCAAAGUGUUCAGAGGAAAGGGUUUGUCCUCUUGUACAGCCAUUCUGGAACAGUAUGUGGGUUCCUCAAAAAAUUACAAAGAGAACUGCCAUAUGAUCCUAGUCUUCCUUUAACAGAAUGUAAACCAAGAGUGUCUGGUGGGCUCCAGAACUAACUGGCAAGGCCAAGAGGCAAAGCUUUGCCUGCAGGUGCCUUUCAGUGCAGGAUUGUG